RNAcentral lists this ribosomal RNA (253 nucleotides) under uncultured bacterium. RNAcentral's name for it is "partial 16S ribosomal RNA". It matches the Rfam family "Bacterial small subunit ribosomal RNA", at positions 524 to 776 of the family's 1533-position model. The record is from RNAcentral.
UACGAAGGGGGCUAGCGUUGCUCGGAAUCACUGGGCGUAAAGGGCGCGUAGGCGGCGUUUUAAGUCGGGGGUGAAAGCCUGUGGCUCAACCACAGAAUGGCCUUCGAUACUGGGACGCUUGAGUAUGGUAGAGGUUGGUGGAACUGCGAGUGUAGAGGUGAAAUUCGUAGAUAUUCGCAAGAACACCAGUGGCGAAGGCGGCUACCUGGACCAGCACUGACACUGAGGCACGAAAGCGUGGGGAGCAAACAGG